This 253-nucleotide ribosomal RNA is filed under the name uncultured bacterium. Its description in RNAcentral is "partial 16S ribosomal RNA". It matches the Rfam family "Bacterial small subunit ribosomal RNA", at positions 524 to 776 of the family's 1533-position model. The record is from RNAcentral.
UACGUAGGGGGCAAGCGUUGUCCGGAUUUAUUGGGCGUAAAGAGCGUGUAGGCGGCCAGGUAGGUCUGCUGUGAAAACUCGAGGCUUAACCUCGAGAUGUCGGCGGAAACUAUUCGGCUUGAGUGCGGUAGGGGAGACUGGAAUUCCUGGUGUAGCGGUGAAAUGCGCAGAUAUCAGGAGGAACACCGGUGGCGAAGGCGGGUCUCUGGGCCGUAACUGACGCUGAGGAGCGAAAGCGUGGGGAGCGAACAGG